RNAcentral lists this ribosomal RNA (320 nucleotides) under uncultured eukaryote. Its description in RNAcentral is "partial 18S ribosomal RNA". It matches the Rfam family "Eukaryotic small subunit ribosomal RNA", at positions 1470 to 1796 of the family's 1831-position model. The record is from RNAcentral.
CCCUUAGAUGUUCUGGGCUGCACGCGCGCUACACUGACACACGCAACGAGUCUCCUGCCCUGACAGGGUCGGGUAAUCAUUUGAGUGUGUGUCGUGAUGGGGAUAGAGUAUUGCAAUUAUUGCUCUUGAACGAGGAAUUCCUAGUAAGCACAAGUCAGCAGCUUGUGCUGAUUACGUCCCUGCCCUUUGUACACACCGCCCGUCGCUCCUACCGAUUGGAUGAUCCGGUGAGCUAUUCGGACCUUCGCUUCGUCGAUUUUCGGCUUUGUGAGGGAAAGUCUCGCGAACCUUAUCAUCUAGAGGAAGGAGAAGUCGUAACA